Salvelinus sp. IW2-2015 is the source of this 312-nucleotide non-coding RNA. NCBI's taxonomy places the organism in Eukaryota, Metazoa, Chordata, Actinopteri, Salmoniformes, Salmonidae. The record is from RefSeq and is a predicted model, not a curated record.
GGUGUUGUUUCAAACCAGAACGCGUAAAGCUGGUCUGAAGCUUUUGAAAUGGAAACUGUCUGUCUUUGGAGAUGAGGAAGCUGAAGAAGAAUUGGACCCAUCCCGCAUUAGGAGCGAGAGCAUUCUAGUUGCUCUCUUCGCCAACCGGGGUUAUGACGAGAAGCCAGAGGUUGCUCUGCCAAGUGGACUAAACGAUAAAGUGACUGGGACAGAGAAUGCAUUGAAAAAGAAGAUCCAGGAAUCCAAGAGCAGACGCUUUUUGGAGAAGGACAAACGCCUUCUGGAAAGAGCUGAAGAGCCUGCACUGUGACC